GUGCCAGCCGCCGCGGUAAUACGGAGGGUGCAAGCGUUGUCCGGAUUUAUUGGGUUUAAAGGGUGCGUAGGCGGCCCGUUAAGUCAGUGGUGAAAGCCUCCAGCUCAACUGGAGAACUGCCAUUGAUACUGACGGGCUUGAGUACAGACGAGGUUGGCGGAAUUGAUUGUGUAGCGGUGAAAUGCAUAGAUACAAUCAAGAACUCCGAUUGCGUAGGCAGCUAACUAGGCUGUAACUGACGCUGAGGCACGAAAGCGUGGGGAGCGAACAGGAUUAGAUACCCUCGUAGUCC
RNAcentral lists this ribosomal RNA (292 nucleotides) under uncultured bacterium. Its description in RNAcentral is "partial 16S ribosomal RNA". It matches the Rfam family "Bacterial small subunit ribosomal RNA", at positions 505 to 796 of the family's 1533-position model. The record is from RNAcentral.